GUUAUCUUUAAAUGCCCUUACUCCUAGCAGUUUAAACACUUAGAAUGAGGUGAUCUUACAUGGUCACUGGCAUUUUAUCCAGCUCCCUAAAGUGUUAGAAAUUAUCAUUGAAAAAUGAAAGACUUUUAAAAAGAUAUAUCAGAUACACUUGCACCAGAGACGCUUAAAAAAAAAAAAAUACACUCUCAUAGCCAGGUGCACCAACUUUUAACUAGAGUGGACAAAGCACCUUUGAGUACUUCGCAAAAUUGGAGCAGAUAGAGAAUUUAAGCUUCAAGUAUUUUCUGGUUUUAAAAAGAAUACACGUUUUCUUUACUCUGUAGCAGCCGGGGAAGGUCACACAAAGUUUGUAUCAGGUAAGGCCAACUGCCACCUUGGGUAGCCUAUGGUCAUGUUCAGCCAUGACAAUGACUCAGAACUCACAGACUAACGUGAAGGAAACAGCAUCCAUUUGAAGACCCAUGUUCCCAUCCACAGCUCUGUGCCCUGA
RNAcentral lists this long non-coding RNA (490 nucleotides) under Bos taurus (domestic cattle). RNAcentral describes it as "long non-coding RNA NONBTAT015088". Lineage: Eukaryota; Metazoa; Chordata; Mammalia; Artiodactyla; Bovidae. The record is from RNAcentral.